GUGGCAGUAGCUUAGUGGUAGAGCUCCCGUUUCGUAAGCGGCGAGACCUGGGAUAGAUUCCCGGCUGCUUACC
Toxocara canis (dog roundworm) is the source of this 73-nucleotide non-coding RNA. Lineage: Eukaryota; Metazoa; Nematoda; Chromadorea; Rhabditida; Toxocaridae. The record is from Rfam.